CGGGGAGAGAGUGAGAGAUGCUCGGAGAUCCCUGUGGGGAGAGAGCCCCUCCACUCUCUUAUUUUACAAGGACCCAGUUUCCCCAUGGGGGGUUCACCGCCAGUCCCCACUGGGUCCGGGCCGGCCCCCUUUCCCCUCCCCAUCCCCACUCUUGCCUUCCCCCCUCCUUGGACCCCUCUGACCUCUGACACCCACACUGCCAGCCUCACUUAGGAGGCCCUUUCCCGAGGGUGGAGGCCCUGAUGAGGGGAACCCAGACCUCCCCAGUGCCCCUGAUGCCCUGGAGCCAGCAGCUAUGGGGGUGACCCCGUCACUGUCCUCGGGGAUCGCUUAUUGGAUUUGGCCCCAGGGCUCCCAGCAGCGGGUCCCUGGGGCCCGACUUGGGCUGGUGAUGGGAGAUUCCAGAUCUCCCGCCAUGGAGCGCUCUGCCCACCCCGAAGGAAGCCGGCCUGGCCCAUGAUGCCUCAGGAUUGGGCUGUGUCCCCUCCGGGCAGUGCACCCCUCCCCCUUUUGGAUCAGCAUCCCAGGCUCCUGGUUCAAGACUCCGGACAGCGCCUCCUCUUCCCCUUGCCAGAGUCUCCCAGAUUGCCCAAGUUCUGGGCCGAGGGCCCUGGGGCAGCCUGUGGCCUCUCCCGGAAAGAUGGACAGCUUGCACGGAAUCCAGACUUUGGGCAACGGAGGCGGGGCUUUGUAAGUUUGGAGCCACAACCCGGGGGGUGCCGGAGGCCCAGAACACGGUCCUGUUAUUAACGCCAGUGGCUCUGGGAGCUCCUCAGGGUUCAGCUCAUUCUUCUCAUCUGACAGAUGAGGAAGCUUCAUCAGGUCAAUCCCACAACUCUGAAGCUGGACCUGGGGCCCCUGACUUCAGACACCUCCAUAUCCCUGCCAUCCCUGCACCUGACUAGUAGAGAAUGACCAAAGAUUGCUGAGGAGCAGGGAGAGACAGGGUUCAAACUGGAUGUGGCUGAGAGUGGCGGGAUGGUCUGAAAUGAACGGAUCAGAGAAUGAACGAAGUUGGGAAGAUCUGGUUGGAAGAGGCAGUCUGACGAGAUUGGGAUAGAGGGCACAGAACGUCAGUGUAGGGGGAAUCUGCAAAUAAUCUGUGUGUGGCCUGCAGCUGCCCUCCAUUGCUCCUGCCUCCAAGGGGAGAUCAGCCUUUCCGUUAGGCCCUUCCCAUUCACCUCACACCCCAUCUGCUCCCUGGGGCAGACUCAGAUACUUGGAGACAACCACGACAUCACUCCCAAGUCCCCCUAGACCAAAUGCCCCUAGUUCCCUCAGCCACAAAGUCCCUAGUUUUUAGCCCACCUGCCAUCCUUGAGACUCUUCUUUUUAUUUAUUUAUUUAUUUUUUAUUUAAUAGCCUUUUAUUUACAGGUUAUAUGUAUGGGUAAUUUUACAGCAUUAACAAUUGUCAAACCUCUUGUUCCAAUUUUUCCCCUCCUUCCCCUCACCCCCUCCCCCAGAUGGCAGGAUGACCAGUAGAUGUUAAAUAUAUUAAAAUAUAAAUUAGAUACACAAUAAGUCUACAUGACCAAACCGUUAUUUUGCUGUACAAAAAGAAUCAGACUCUGAAAUAUUGUACAAUUAGCCUGUGAAGGAAUUCAGGAAUUCAGGUUAGGGGGAAAUUGUCAAUCUUUAUUCUCAGUGAAGAAAGAUCGGAGGUGGAAGAGAAUAGGCAAUAACAGUGUGGGCAGCUGAGUCAAGAAGUUAGCCAGACCAGCAGCCACGAGAUCAGCACCACCAGAGUAGAACCCAGGCCCAUUCUCUCCCAGCCUCUCUUCCUGUCUCUCUGCCUCCACCGACCAAAAUCGUCAUUUCCUAUACACCACAUCAGGACUUGCACGGAGAGUGGGCAGGGGCCAUUCUUUAUCCAAGCAUGUAUAUUAAUAAAGUAUAGUCCAAUUACUAUUUAGCCUCAUGUGCUUGGGACCUCAGUCCCAACUCAAGCCUUAGCCCAUUACAAUGGUCUACACAGCCAUCUGAUUAAACUAUUAGCCUAGUCCCAAGUCCCUCCUUCACACUAUUGCCGGACAUCUUUCUCACCCAAUGCUCAAGUCCCACUGUUCCAUAAUGUGGCACCAUCCUUCCUCUCUACUCAUAGUCUGAUGACAUUGCCUCCCCUCACAUCCCCUGGUAGUUACCCAAACACACAUAUCCCUAUCCCAGUUAUUGGAAGGAGGUGAUCCACUGGAGAGGAUCCCAAUGAUGAUGAUGAUGAUGAUGAUGAUGACAGUGAUGAUGGUAAUUAUGAUGAUGAUGAUGAUGAUAAUGGUGAGGAUGAUGAUGAUGAUGAUAUGAUGGUGAUGAUGACGAUAAUGAUAUAAUGGUGAUGAUAUUGAUGGUGAUGAUGGUGAUAAUCAUGAUGAUGAUGGAUGAUGAUGAUGGUGAUGAUAAUGAUGAUGAUGAUGAUGAUAAUAAUAUAAUGGUGAUGAUAAUGAUGAUGAUGAUGAUGAUAAUGCUAAUAUUGAUGAUGAUGGUAAUAAUGUUAUGAUGGUGAUGAUGAUGAUAAUAGUGAUGAUGAUGAUGAUGGUGAUGAUGAUGAUGGUGAUGAUGUUGAUAAUGGUGAUGAUAACGAUGGUGGUGAUGAUGAUAAUGAUUGAUAAUGAUGAUGAUGAUGAUGUUGAUAAUGAUAUAAUGGUGAUGAUAUUGAUAGUGAUGAUGGUGAUAACCAUGAUGAUGAUGGGUGAUGAUGAUGGUGAUGAUAAUGAUGGUGGUGAUUAUGACAAUGAUGAUUGAUAAUGAUAAGGAUGAUGAUGGUGAUGAUUGAUAAUGAUAAUGAUGAUGAUGAUAAUGCUAAUGUUGAUGAUGAUGGUAAUAAUGUAAUGAUGGUGAUGGUGAUGAUGAUGAUGAUGGUGAUGAUGAUGAUAAUGGUAAUGCUCAUGAUGAUGAUGAUGGUAAUAAUGUUAUGAUGGUGAUGAUGAUGAUGAUGAUGGGGAUGAUGAUGAUGAUGGGGAUGGGGAUAUGAUUAUAAUGAUGACAAUGAUGAUUAUGAUGAUGGUGAUGAUGGUGAUAAUAGUAAUGAUGAUGAUCAUAAUGAUAAUGGUGAUGAUAAUGAUUGAUAAUAGUGAUGAUGAUGAUGAAGAUAAUGAUGAUGAUGAUGAUGAUGAUGAUGGUGAUAAUGGGAUGAUGGUGAUGGUGAUGAUAAUGGUGAUGAUGAUCAUCAUAAUGAUAAUGGUGAUAAUGGUGAUUAUGAUGAUGGUAAUGAUUAUGUUGAUGUUGAUAAUGAUAAUAUGAUGUUGAUGCAGGUAAUAUGGACCAAGCCUUGUGUAGCCUGGUGAUACAAAGACAAAAGUGAACAAUCCUACUUUUGUGUUUGUGUUCUAGUGGGGUAACAACAUAUACAUAUGCAUAUUAAAUAGAAAAAUGAUAGAAAGUCAUUUGGGAGGGGAGCAUAUACUCGGGGAAUAUGUGGUAAAGAGGCAGAGAUUCGAACUGG
RNAcentral lists this long non-coding RNA (3438 nucleotides) under Sarcophilus harrisii (Tasmanian devil). RNAcentral's name for it is "lncRNA (ENSSHAG00000024826.1)". Lineage: Eukaryota; Metazoa; Chordata; Mammalia; Dasyuromorphia; Dasyuridae. The record is from RNAcentral.